AUACGUAGGUGGCAAGCGUUAUCCGGAUUUACUGGGUGUAAAGGGCGCGUAGGCGGGGGUGCAAGUCAGAUGUGAAAUCUAUGGGCUUAACUCAUAAACUGCAUUUGAAACUGUAUCUCUUGAGUGCUGGAGAGGUAGACGGAAUUCCUUGUGUAGCGGUGAAAUGCGUAGAUAUAAGGAAGAACACCAGUGGCGAAGGCGGUCUACUGGACAGUAACUGACGCUGAGGCGCGAAAGCGUGGGGAGCAAACAGGAUUAGAUACCCUGGUAGUCCACACUGUAAACGAUGAAUGCUAGGUGUAAGAGGUAUCGACCCCUUGUGUGCCGGAGUCAACACAAUAAGCAUUCCGCCUGGGGAGUACGGCCGCAAGGUUGAAACUCAAAUGAAUUGGCGGGG
Molecule: ribosomal RNA, 397 nt
Filed under: uncultured bacterium
Lineage: Bacteria
Description: partial 16S ribosomal RNA
Rfam family: Bacterial small subunit ribosomal RNA
Source: RNAcentral